Molecule: ribosomal RNA, 426 nt
Filed under: uncultured bacterium
Lineage: Bacteria
Description: bacterial SSU rRNA
Rfam family: Bacterial small subunit ribosomal RNA
Source: RNAcentral
GUGGGGAAUAUUGCACAAUGGGGGAAACCCUGAUGCAGCGACGCCGCGUGAGCGAAGAAGGCCUUCGGGUUGUAAAGCUCUGUUGAGGGGGACGAAGAAUGACGGUACCCCUUUAGAAAGCCACGGCUAACUACGUGCCAGCAGCCGCGGUAAUACGUAGGUGGCGAGCGUUGUCCGGAAUUACUGGGUGUAAAGGGAGCGUAGGCGGGGGUCUAAGUUGGAUGUGAAAUACCGCAGCUUAACUGCGGGGCUGCAUCCAAAACUGGACUUCUUGAGUGAAGUAGAGGCAAGCGGAAUUCCUAGUGUAGCGGUGAAAUGCGUAGAUAUUAGGAGGAACACCAGUGGCGAAGGCGGCUUGCUGGGCUUUUACUGACGCUGAGGCUCGAAAGCGUGGGGAGCAAACAGGAUUAGAAACCCUAGUAGUCC